CAGCCGCCACGGGAAUACGAAGGGGGCUAGCGUUGUUCGAAUUUACUGGGCGUAAAGCGCACGUAGGCGGAUCGAUCAGUCAGGGGUGAAAUCCCAGAGCUCAACUCUGGAACUGCCUUUGAUACUGUCGAUCUGGAGUAUGGAAGAGGUGAGUGGAAUUCCGAGUGUAGAGGUGAAAUUCGUAGAUAUUCGGAGGAACACCAGUGGCGAAGGCGGCUCACUGGUCCAUUACUGACGCUGAGGUGCGAAAGCGUGGGGAGCAAACAGGAUUAGAUACCCGCGUAGUCCCUGUCUCUUAUAC
Molecule: ribosomal RNA, 301 nt
Filed under: uncultured bacterium
Lineage: Bacteria
Description: partial 16S ribosomal RNA
Rfam family: Bacterial small subunit ribosomal RNA
Source: RNAcentral